Molecule: ribosomal RNA, 460 nt
Filed under: uncultured bacterium
Lineage: Bacteria
Description: partial 16S ribosomal RNA
Rfam family: Bacterial small subunit ribosomal RNA
Source: RNAcentral
CCUACGGGAGGCAGCAGUGAGGAAUAUUGGUCAAUGGGCGCGAGCCUGAACCAGCCAAGUAGCGUGAAGGAUGACUGCCCUACGGGUUGUAAACUUCUUUUAUAAAGGAAUAAAGUGAGGCACGUGUGCCUUUUUGUAUGUACUUUAUGAAUAAGGAUCGGCUAACUCCGUGCCAGCAGCCGCGGUCAUACGGAGGAUCCGAGCGUUAUCCGGAUUUAUUGGGUUUACAGGGAGCGUAGAUGGGUUGUUAAGUCAGUUGUGAAAGUUUGCGGCUCAAACGUCAAAUUGCAAUUGAUACUGGCAGUCUAGAGGACAGUUGAGGUAGGCGGAAUUCGUGGUGUAGCGGUGAAAUGCGUAGAGAUCACGAAGAACACCGAGUGCGAAGGCAGCUUACUAAACUGCCACUGACAUUGAUGCUCGAAAGUGUGGGGAGCAAACAGGAUUAGAUACCCUAGUAGUC